This 60-nucleotide transfer RNA is filed under the name Heterocephalus glaber (naked mole-rat). It matches the Rfam family "tRNA", at positions 6 to 65 of the family's 71-position model. From Rfam's summary of the family: Transfer RNA (tRNA) molecules are approximately 80 nucleotides in length. Their secondary structure includes four short double-helical elements and three loops (D, anti-codon, and T loops). Lineage: Eukaryota; Metazoa; Chordata; Mammalia; Rodentia; Bathyergidae. The record is from Rfam by way of RNAcentral.
UAUAGCUUAAUGAUAGAGUAUGUGCUCAGGAUGCACAAGGCCUGGGUUCAAUACCCAGUA